AUGGCACUCUCCGCCGCGUCCAGGCUGUCGCGCGCGGCGCGGGCCGCCGCCGUGGCCCGCCGCCUGGCAGCCGGCAGCCGCGAGCCCCUCCCGCGCGCACUUGCGUCGCUAGCCGGGGGAACCCCCUUCCCCACCGCCGCCAAGGUCAGCAGGCCCUCGUGGCUCGCUCCUCCCAUGGCCAGGCUCCCCACGGGGGGCGGGGGUGGCCUCCUGGUGCCGCCUCGCCGGCUUUUCCACUCCACGCCGCCGGCUCGGUACAGCGCCUCAUCCUCGUCUCAGAUAAGUCCAGAUCAAUUCACUGAGAUGGCUUGGGAGGGGGUUGCCGGUGCAGUUGAGGCAGCGAGAUUGUCUAAACAACAGAUUGUGGAAUCUGAGCACCUGAUGAAAGCUCUUUUGGAGCAGAAGGAUGGGUUAGCACGCAGAAUAUUUUCAAAAGCUGGGAUAGACAACACAUCGGUCCUGCGAGCUACUGAUGACUUUAUUGCUAAACAACCCAAGGUUAGUGGUGAUACAAGUGGGCCAGUUGUAGGGCAAAGUUUCACAUUAAUUUUGGAUAAGGCAAUGAAGUACAAAAAAGAGUAUGGCGAUGAGUUUGUAUCAGUUGAGCACAUGCUGAGAGCAUUCACGGCGGAUAAGAGGUUUGGGCAACAGUUGUUCGAAGAUCUCCAGAUUGGUGAGAAUGAGCUGAAGGAAGCUAUCUCUGCUGUACGUGGUAGCCAGCGAGUUACAGAUCAGAAUCCAGAAGGGAAGUUCCAAGCUCUAGAGAAGUAUGGUAUCGACAUGACAGAACUAGCUCGGCGUGGAAAACUUGAUCCUGUUAUAGGACGUGAUGAUGAAGUGCGCCGAUGCAUUCAAAUCCUUUGUAGAAGAACUAAAAAUAAUCCUGUAAUUAUUGGCGAGCCAGGAGUUGGCAAAACUGCGAUUGCUGAAGGAUUGGCUCAGCGCAUUGUGCGGGGAGAUGUUCCUGAGCCUUUACAAAAUAGAAAGCUUAUUUCGCUGGACAUGGGAGCAUUACUUGCUGGUUCCAAAUAUCGUGGUGAAUUUGAAGAGAGACUUAAGGCUGUUCUGAAGGAGGUCACUGCUUCUAAUGGACAAAUCAUCUUGUUCAUUGAUGAGAUUCACACUGUUGUUGGUGCAGGAGCCACUGGUGGGUCAAUGGAUGCUGGUAACCUGUUGAAACCAAUGUUAGGCCGUGGGGAACUCCGUUGCAUUGGGGCAACAACAUUAGAUGAGUACAGGAAGUACAUUGAGAAAGAUGCUGCUCUUGAACGUAGGUUCCAGCAGGUUUACUGUGGUGAACCAGCAGUUGAGGAUACAGUUUCUAUACUACGUGGCCUGCGAGAGCGGUAUGAGAUGCAUCAUGGUGUUAAGAUAUCAGAUGGUGCUCUUGUUGCUGCAGCUGCUUUAUCAGAUCGCUACAUCACUGGACGUUUUUUGCCUGACAAAGCUAUUGAUCUAGUUGAUGAAGCGGCAGCUAAAUUGAAAAUGGAGAUUACAUCAAAACCUAUCGAGUUGGAUGAGGUCGACAGGGAAAUCAUAAGGUUUGAAAUGGAGAAGCUUUCAUUGAAGAAUGAUACUGACAAAGCCUCCAAAGAACGACUAAGCAAGCUUGAAGCUGAACUAGAAUCCCUCAAGCAGAAGCAGAAAAACCUUUCAGAACACUGGGAGUAUGAGAAAUCGUUGAUGACUCGUAUAAAAUCAAUUAAGGAAGAGAUUGACAGAGUUAACCUGGAGAUUGAAGCCGCUGAGAGAGAAUAUAAUUUGAACCGUGCUGCUGAACUCAAAUAUUCAACGCUUUUGACACUACAAAAACAGCUGGAUGAGGCUGAGGAAAACCUUACUGAAUUCCAGCAGUCAGGAAAGUCGAUGCUUCGAGAAGAGGUGACUGAUGUUGAUAUUGCUGAGAUAGUUAGCAAGUGGACUGGUAUUCCAGUGUCAAAUCUUCAACAAUCGGAUAGGGAAAAGCUACUGCUACUGGAGGAUGUACUCCACAAGAGGGUUAUUGGCCAAGAUAUUGCAGUCAAGUCAGUAGCCAAUGCAAUCCGUCGUUCUAGGGCAGGCCUAUCGGACCCUAACCGUCCAAUAGCGAGCUUCAUGUUUAUGGGCCCUACAGGUGUAGGCAAGACUGAGCUGGGAAAGACGCUAGCUGAAUUCCUUUUCAACACUGAAAAUGCCUUGAUACGGAUUGACAUGAGUGAGUACAUGGAGAAGCAUGCUGUUUCUCGCUUGGUUGGAGCACCACCGGGGUACGUCGGUUAUGAGGAAGGGGGCCAACUUUCAGAAGCUGUUCGCCGCAGGCCUUACUCUGUCGUUCUGUUUGAUGAGAUUGAGAAGGCACACCAAGAUGUCUUCAACAUCUUGUUGCAACUGUUGGACGAUGGAAGAAUAACUGAUUCCCAGGGCAGAACAGUGAGCUUCACUAACUGUGUGAUCAUCAUGACCUCGAACAUUGGUUCACCAUUGAUUCUAGACACCCUCAGAAACACAACAGACAGCAAGGAUGCGGUGUAUGAGGUAAUGAAAAAACAGGUGACUGAGAUUGCUCGGCAGACAUUCCGACCAGAGUUCCUGAACAGGAUAGAUGAAUACAUUGUGUUCCAACCACUGGACUCAACAGAGAUAAAUCGCAUUGUGGAGAUACAGCUGAACCGGGUCAAAAACAGGCUGCUGCAACAGAAGAUUCACCUUCAGUACACACCGGAAGCUGUGGAGCAUCUCGGCGCUCUUGGCUUUGACCCUAACUACGGUGCCAGGCCUGUCAAGAGGGUGAUCCAGCAGAUGGUGGAGAACGAGAUAGCGCUCGGUGUCCUCAAGGGUGACUUCAAGGAAGACGAUACCGUUGUCGUGGAUGUAAGCUCCGUGUCGAUAGCCAAAGGCUUUGCUCCAAAGAAGCAGCUGGUCCUUCAGAGGUUAGAAAACGGAAGCACAGAGUUGGUUGCCAAGGACGGAAGCACAGAGUUGGUUGCCAAUGACUGA
RNAcentral lists this ribosomal RNA (2976 nucleotides) under Triticum aestivum (bread wheat). Its description in RNAcentral is "partial small subunit ribosomal RNA". The record is from RNAcentral. Lineage: Eukaryota; Viridiplantae; Streptophyta; Magnoliopsida; Poales; Poaceae.